CGGGACACGUGGUAUCCUGUCUGAAUAUGGGGGGACCAUCCUCCAAGGCUAAAUACUCCUGACUGACCGAUAGUGAACCAGUACCGUGAGGGAAAGGCGAAAAGAACCCCGGCGAGGGGAGUGAAAAAGAACCUGAAACCGUGUACGUACAAGCAGUGGGAGCACGCUUAGGCGUGUGACUGCGUACCUUUUGUAUAAUGGGUCAGCGACUUAUAUUCUGUAGCAAGGUUAACCGAAUAGGGGAGCCGAAGGGAAACCGAGUCUUAACUGGGCGUUAAGUUGCAGGGUAUAGACCCGAAACCCGGUGAUCUAGCCAUGGGCAGGUUGAAGGUUGGGUAACACUAACUGGAGGACCGAACCGACUAAUGUUGAAAAAUUAGCGGAUGACUUGUGGCUGGGGGUGAAAGGCCAAUCAAACCGGGAGAUAGCUGGUUCUCCCCGAAAGCUAUUUAGGUAGCGCCUCGUGAAUUCAUCUCCGGGGGUAGAGCACUGUUUCGGCAAGGGGGUCAUCCCGACUUACCAACCCGAUGCAAACUGCGAAUACCGGAGAAUGUUAUCACGGGAGACACACGGCGGGUGCUAACGUCCGUCGUGAAGAGGGAAACAACCCAGACCGCCAGCUAAGGUCCCAAAGUCAUGGUUAAGUGGGAAACGAUGUGGGAAGGCCCAGACAGCCAGGAUGUUGGCUUAGAAGCAGCCAUCAUUUAAAGAAAGCGUAAUAGCUCACUGGUCGAGUCGGCCUGCGCGGAAGAUGUAACGGGGCUAAACCAUGCACCGAAGCUGCGGCAGCGACGCUGAUGCGUUGUUGGGUAGGGGAGCGUUCUGUAAGCCUGUGAAGGUGUGCUGUGAGGCAUGCUGGAGGUAUCAGAAGUGCGAAUGCUGACAUAAGUAACGAUAAAGCGGGUGAAAAGCCCGCUCGCCGGAAGACCAAGGGUUCCUGUCCAACGUUAAUCGGGGCAGGGUGAGUCGACCCCUAAGGCGAGGCCGAAAGGCGUAGUCGAUGGGAAACAGGUUAAUAUUCCUGUACUUGGUGUUACUGCGAAGGGGGGACGGAGAAGGCUAUGUUGGCCGGGCGACGGUUGUCCCGGUUUAAGCGUGUAGGCUGGUUUUCCAGGCAAAUCCGGAAAAUCAAGGCUGAGGCGUGAUGACGAGGCACUACGGUGCUGAAGCAACAAAUGCCCUGCUUCCAGGAAAAGCCUCUAAGCAUCAGGUAACAUCAAAUCGUACCCCAAACCGACACAGGUGGUCAGGUAGAGAAUACCAAGGCGCUUGAGAGAACUCGGGUGAAGGAACUAGGCAAAAUGGUGCCGUAACUUCGGGAGAAGGCACGCUGAUAUGUAGGUGAAGCGACUUGCUCGUGGAGCUGAAAUCAGUCGAAGAUACCAGCUGGCUGCAACUGUUUAUUAAAAACACAGCACUGUGCAAACACGAAAGUGGACGUAUACGGUGUGACGCCUGCCCGGUGCCGGAAGGUUAAUUGAUGGGGUCAGCGCAAGCGAAGCUCUUGAUCGAAGCCCCGGUAAACGGCGGCCGUAACUAUAACGGUCCUAAGGUAGCGAAAUUCCUUGUCGGGUAAGUUCCGACCUGCACGAAUGGCGUAAUGAUGGCCAGGCUGUCUCCACCCGAGACUCAGUGAAAUUGAACUCGCUGUGAAGAUGCAGUGUACCCGCGGCAAGACGGAAAGACCCCGUGAACCUUUACUAUAGCUUGACACUGAACAUUGAGCCUUGAUGUGUAGGAUAGGUGGGAGGCUUUGAAGUGUGGACGCCAGUCUGCAUGGAGCCGGCCUUGAAAUACCACCCUUUAAUGUUUGAUGUUCUAACGUUGACCCGUGAUCCGGGUUGCGGACAGUGUCUGGUGGGUAGUUUGACUGGGGCGGUCUCCUCCUAAAGAGUAACGGAGGAGCACGAAGGUUGGCUAAUCCUGGUCGGACAUCAGGAGGUUAGUGCAAUGGCAUAAGCCAGCUUGACUGCGAGCGUGACGGCGCGAGCAGGUGCGAAAGCAGGUCAUAGUGAUCCGGUGGUUCUGAAUGGAAGGGCCAUCGCUCAACGGAUAAAAGGUACUCCGGGGAUAACAGGCUGAUACCGCCCAAGAGUUCAUAUCGACGGCGGUGUUUGGCACCUCGAUGUCGGCUCAUCACAUCCUGGGGCUGAAGUAGGUCCCAAGGGUAUGGCUGUUCGCCAUUUAAAGUGGUACGCGAGCUGGGUUUAGAACGUCGUGAGACAGUUCGGUCCCUAUCUGCCGUGGGCGCUGGAGAACUGAG
Molecule: ribosomal RNA, 2263 nt
Filed under: Escherichia coli
Lineage: Bacteria; Pseudomonadati; Pseudomonadota; Gammaproteobacteria; Enterobacterales; Enterobacteriaceae
Description: partial 23S ribosomal RNA
Rfam family: Bacterial large subunit ribosomal RNA
Source: RNAcentral